Molecule: non-coding RNA, 22 nt
Filed under: Arabidopsis thaliana (thale cress)
Lineage: Eukaryota; Viridiplantae; Streptophyta; Magnoliopsida; Brassicales; Brassicaceae
Source: RNAcentral
UAUUCCAGGAUAUGCAAAAGAA